GACGAACGCUGGCGGCGUGCUUAAAAACAUGCAAGUCGAACGGACUUCUCAUGAAGCUUGCAAUUGAGAAGUUAGUGGCGGACGGGUGAGUAACGCGUGGGCAACCUGCCCCUGAGCCCGGGAUAACAGUUCGAAAGGACUGCUAAGACCGGAUAUACUUGCGGGGAAGCAUUUCUCUGUAAGGAAAGGGAACGCUCAGGGAUGGGCCCGCGUCCCAUUAGCUAGUUGGUGAGGUAACGGCCCACCAAGGCGACGAUGGGUAGCCGGCCUGAGAGGGUGAACGGCCACACUGGGACUGAGACACGGCCCAGACUCCUACGGGAGGCAGCAGUUGGGAAUUUUGGACAAUGGGGGCAACCCUGAUCCAGCCAUGCCGCGUGAGUGAAGAAGGCCUUCGGGUUGUAAAGCUCUUUCAGGUGGAAAGAAAUACGCAUCUUUUAAUACAGGGUGUGGAUGACGGUACCAUCAGAAGAAGACACCGGCUAACUACGUGCCAGCAGCCGCGGUAAG
This 510-nucleotide ribosomal RNA is filed under the name uncultured bacterium. RNAcentral's name for it is "bacterial SSU rRNA". It matches the Rfam family "Bacterial small subunit ribosomal RNA", at positions 28 to 524 of the family's 1533-position model. The record is from RNAcentral.